UAUGAGAGUUUGAUCCUGGCUCAGGACGAACGCUGGCGGCGUGCCUAAUACAUGCAAGUCGAACGCUUCUUUCCUCCCGAGUGCUUGCACUCAAUUGGAAAGAGGAGUGGCGGACGGGUGAGUAACACGUGGGUAACCUACCCAUCAGAGGGGGAUAACACUUGGAAACAGGUGCUAAUACCGCAUAACAGUUUAUGCCGCAUGGCAUAAGAGUGAAAGGCGCUUUCGGGUGUCGCUGAUGGAUGGACCCGCGGUGCAUUAGCUAGUUGGUGAGGUAACGGCUCACCAAGGCCACGAUGCAUAGCCGACCUGAGAGGGUGAUCGGCCACACUGGGACUGAGACACGGCCCAGACUCCUACGGGAGGCAGCAGUAGGGAAUCUUCGGCAAUGGACGGAAGUCUGACCGAGCAACGCCGCGUGAGUGAAGAAGGUUUUCGGAUCGUAAAACUCUGUUGUUAGAGAAGAACAAGGACGUUAGUAACUGAACGUCCCCUGACGGUAUCUAACCAGAAAGCCACGGCUAACUACGUGCCAGCAGCCGCGGUAAUACGUAGGUGGCAAGCGUUGUCCGGAUUUAUUGGGCGUAAAGCGAGCGCAGGCGGUUUCUUAAGUCUGAUGUGAAAGCCCCCGGCUCAACCGGGGAGGGUCAUUGGAAACUGGGAGACUUGAGUGCAGAAGAGGAGAGUGGAAUUCCAUGUGUAGCGGUGAAAUGCGUAGAUAUAUGGAGGAACACCAGUGGCGAAGGCGGCUCUCUGGUCUGUAACUGACGCUGAGGCUCGAAAGCGUGGGGAGCAAACAGGAUUAGAUACCCUGGUAGUCCACGCCGUAAACGAUGAGUGCUAAGUGUUGGAGGGUUUCCGCCCUUCAGUGCUGCAGCAAACGCAUUAAGCACUCCGCCUGGGGAGUACGACCGCAAGGUUGAAACUCAAAGGAAUUGACGGGGGCCCGCACAAGCGGUGGAGCAUGUGGUUUAAUUCGAAGCAACGCGAAGAACCUUACCAGGUCUUGACAUCCUUUGACCACUCUAGAGAUAGAGCUUUCCCUUCGGGGACAAAGUGACAGGUGGUGCAUGGUUGUCGUCAGCUCGUGUCGUGAGAUGUUGGGUUAAGUCCCGCAACGAGCGCAACCCUUAUUGUUAGUUGCCAUCAUUUAGUUGGGCACUCUAGCGAGACUGCCGGUGACAAACCGGAGGAAGGUGGGGAUGACGUCAAAUCAUCAUGCCCCUUAUGACCUGGGCUACACACGUGCUACAAUGGGAAGUACAACGAGUCGCUAGACCGCGAGGUCAUGCAAAUCUCUUAAAGCUUCUCUCAGUUCGGAUUGCAGGCUGCAACUCGCCUGCAUGAAGCCGGAAUCGCUAGUAAUCGCGGAUCAGCACGCCGCGGUGAAUACGUUCCCGGGCCUUGUACACACCGCCCGUCACACCACGAGAGUUUGUAACACCCGAAGUCGGUGAGGUAACCUUUUUGGAGCCAGCCGCCUAAGGUGGGAUAGAUGAUUGGGGUGAAGUCGUAACAAGGUAGCCGUAUCGGAAGGUGCGGCUGGAUCACCUCCUUUCUAAGGAAUAUUACGGAAAUACACAUUUCGUCUUUACUUUGUUCAGUUUUGAGAGGUCUACUCU
RNAcentral lists this ribosomal RNA (1622 nucleotides) under Enterococcus faecalis. RNAcentral's name for it is "bacterial SSU rRNA". It matches the Rfam family "Bacterial small subunit ribosomal RNA". The record is from RNAcentral. Lineage: Bacteria; Bacillati; Bacillota; Bacilli; Lactobacillales; Enterococcaceae.